CCCGUAACUUCGGGAGAAGGGGGACCACUGCUGGUGACAGACUGAUUGAGCUGGUGGUGGUCGCAGAGAAUAGAGGGAAGCGACUGUUUAUUAAAAACACAGGUCCGUGCGAAAACGUGGAAGUUGAUGUAUACGGACUGACGCCUGCCCGGUGCUGGAAGGUUAAGAGGAGGUGUGCAAGCACCGAAUUGAAGCCCCAGUAAACGGCGGCCGUAACGAUAACGGUCCUAAG
Molecule: ribosomal RNA, 232 nt
Filed under: Thalassiosira rotula
Lineage: Eukaryota; Bacillariophyta; Thalassiosirophyceae; Thalassiosirales; Thalassiosiraceae
Description: partial Bacterial large subunit ribosomal RNA
Rfam family: Bacterial large subunit ribosomal RNA
Source: RNAcentral